UCACUCCGAGGUCAAGGAAUAGACGAUAGGGUUAGAACUUAGGAGCUGUUUUUUUGGAGUAUUCGACCGCAACCAUAGACUCAAGAAAUACUAUACAAAGGACAUUUUAAAGGUGAGUGGCAUCUUUUGUCAUUCAAAUACAUUAGAUAGCCUUGUAGUUGCACUGUAUAGGCAAAUUGCUGUUUGACCACAAUUAGCAGCCCUUUAGAGUGUUUAUUGUGUGUGUUUCUUGCUCAUUUCAUGCAGUGUUGCUUUUAUAUCUAGAGAAACCUGCAGGAAGACCUGUUACGUAUGGUAUCUGUAUUGUAAAAAAUACUUUGGUUACUAUUGUGAUAUAACUUUUUAUUAAAAAAAAGUCUUGGUAUUAAAGGCUGCAUUACAUCUAUGUCAAGAUGUGUAAAGUAUCGUAAUCUGAUUCUGUCAGUGCCACCCAGACAUACGUUUAUCUACUUGAUGUUAAGACUUUGCAUCAACAGUAAAUGCAAAGAUACUAUGCCAUUCUAGGCUGAUUGGUAUCUUGUAAAGUUGGCCCAUAUCGAAACAAAAUGGGCUGGAGAUGCAAAAUAUGUAAAUUUGAAACCUCUGCAAAAACAGGGUUGCUAAAACAUUACAGGUUAUGCCAUGGUCAUGGUGGUCAACCUCUGCCAUGUCUUUAUCCAGAUUGUUUUUGUUUCUUAAAAACAUGGGGUAGCCUUAGAUCACAUCUAUCAAGAAAUCACUCUCAGGAAACUCAGGAAAGAGUCAGAACUGCAGGUUUCUCUUUCACUUGCCAGUGUUGCAGUACCAGCACAAUCUCCACAGAAAAGAGAGCUUUUUGAACACCUUGGUCGACAUUUGAAAAAAAAUUAUACUGUCAUGUUAGUGCUGAAAGUGCAAUGUUAGUGCACUUUCAGCACUAACAUUUACGGAACAUUUGCCUCCCACAGAAGCCGAAAGCAUACUCCUCACUCACUGCAAGACUUUAAAGAAGACCUGCUAAAGAGAUAAAUGACGAAUUCAAGAGAAUAACCACCGUAAGCCUUGAAUCAACUGGGGAGGAGCUACUGGAGUGAGAAUCAGGCAGAUCAAGGACAUGCUUCUUGAGCACAAUACAAUUGAGAACUAGUCAUCCGCUGCCUUGUCGUGUACCUUGGAGAAAAGGAAGAGGACCUUCUCAAGGAGUUUAAUGACCACGUUGCCAUGAUGACACACACAUGCAGACUCACAAGGUGAAAACAAUACCAGCGUCGCUUUAGCAGCUGAACACAAAAGAGUUCGAGGCAGACCUUGAUGGACAAGUGAUGAAUACCACCCCAGGAUCUGACCAUACGAUGGCAACCAUCGUGGUCGAGGGAAACAAAGUCGUUGAGGGAAAGGAUAUCCCAAGGUGCUGUGCUUUGCUGAUGGGCAUAAUAUAUGCUCUGAAUCUGAGCUGUCGGUGUAAACAUCUUUGUUACAUCUUUUGUAAAAUUGAUGUGUGUGAU
Molecule: long non-coding RNA, 1463 nt
Organism: Trematomus bernacchii (emerald rockcod)
Lineage: Eukaryota; Metazoa; Chordata; Actinopteri; Perciformes; Nototheniidae
Exons: 5
Source: RefSeq, a predicted model, not a curated record